Long non-coding RNA from Neogale vison (American mink), 157 nucleotides. RefSeq lists it as uncharacterized. The transcript is spliced from 3 exons. NCBI's taxonomy places the organism in Eukaryota, Metazoa, Chordata, Mammalia, Carnivora, Mustelidae. The record is from RefSeq and is a predicted model, not a curated record.
CCGGAGGCCACAGGAAUGCACUGGAAGGUUCUAUCCAGUGGAGUCAGAGCCUUGGAGUCUACUAACCACAGAACUGGUUAGUAGAAGGGAUGGAAGUGGCUCUCUGUUCCUGGAAACCAGGGUCUGGCAGAACAGGAGAGAGAGAUCACAAGCAGAU